AGGACGAACGCUGGCGGCGUGCUUAACACAUGCAAGUCGAACGGAAAGGCCCUGCUUUUGUGGGGUGCUCGAGUGGCGAACGGGUGAGUAACACGUGAGUAACCUGCCCUUGACUUUGGGAUAACUUCAGGAAACUGGGGCUAAUACCGGAUAGGAGCUCCUGCUGCAUGGUGGGGGUUGGAAAGUUUCGGCGGUUGGGGAUGGACUCGCGGCUUAUCAGCUUGUUGGUGGGGUAGUGGCUUACCAAGGCUUUGACGGGUAGCCGGCCUGAGAGGGUGACCGGCCACAUUGGGACUGAGAUACGGCCCAGACUCCUACGGGAGGCAGCAGUGGGGAAUAUUGCACAAUGGGCGGAAGCCUGAUGCAGCAACGCCGCGUGCGGGAUGACGGCCUCGGUUGUAACCGCUUCGCCUGUGACGAAGCGUGAGUGACGGUAAUGGGUAAAGAAGCACCGGCUAACUACGCGCCAGCAGCCGC
This 477-nucleotide ribosomal RNA is filed under the name uncultured bacterium. RNAcentral's name for it is "SSU rRNA". It matches the Rfam family "Bacterial small subunit ribosomal RNA", at positions 26 to 518 of the family's 1533-position model. The record is from RNAcentral.